Oncorhynchus tshawytscha (Chinook salmon) is the source of this 557-nucleotide long non-coding RNA. Lineage: Eukaryota; Metazoa; Chordata; Actinopteri; Salmoniformes; Salmonidae. The record is from Ensembl.
CCUGGUGACCAGGCUUCAUAGAGGGCAUCACAACCCUCCCUGGUGAACAGGCUUCAUAGAGGGCAUCACAACCCUCCCUGGUGACCAGGCUUCAUAGAGGGCAUCACAACCCUCCCGGUGACCAGGUUUUAUAGAGGGCAUCACAACCCUCAUCACAACCCUCCCUGGUGACCAGGCUUCAUAGAGGGCAUCACAACCCUCCCUGGUGACCAGGCUUCAUAGAGGGCAUCACAACCCUCCCUGGUGACCAGGCUUCAUAGAGGGCAUCACAACCCUCCCUGGUGAACAGGCUUCAUAGAGGGCAUCACAACCCUCCCUGGUGACCAGGCUUCAUAGAGGGCAUCACAACCCUCCCCGGUGACCAGGCUUCAUAGAGGGCAUCACAACCCUCCCUAGUGACCAGGCUUCAUAGAGGGCAUCACAACCCUCAUCACAACCCUCCUUGGUGACCAGGCUUCAUAGAGGGCAUCACAACCCUCCCUGGUGACCAGGCUUCAUAGAGGGCAUCACAACCCUCCCUGGUGACCAGGCUUCAUAGAGGGCAUCACAACCCUCCC